UCUCAUCUUUUUAAGUGGGAGAACUUGCACAAUUGGUGGCUGACUAAAUACUUUUUUCCCCCACUGUAUAUAGUGGAAUAUGUGAGGAAGGAAUAUAUACAGGAGUAGAAUAGGGAUAUGAGGAACCUAUUCCCUAUAUAGAACAAGUCAACUACAUCUAGCCAAUAGGAGGAAUAUGGUGCCAUUCCAGAAGCACCCGACUGUGUCUGUUUAGCUGUGGCUGGUUGUCCACUAGGGGAUUCUAUCUCUUAGCUGUGGCUGGUUGUCCACUAGGUGAUUCUAUCUCUUAGCUGUGGCUGGUUGUCCACUAGGGGAUUCUAUCUCUUAGCUGUGGCUGGUUGUCCACUAGGUGAUUCUAUCUCUUAGCUGUGGCUGGUUGUCCACUAGGUGAUUAUAUCUCUUAGCUGUGGCUGGUUGUCCACUAGGUGAUUAAAUCUCUUAGCUGUGGCUGGUUGUCCACUAGGAGAUUCUAUCUUUGUUCUGAUAGCUAUCUUGACUUUUGUGUCCAGCUUUACUUCAACAGUACUUGAUUGCAAUUUUAGAAAUUCACAUUGAAUCUCGAGGGUGCCGUGAAAAUAGGGCGUUGUUGUGGGCUUACAGAUUUGUAACGGCCGGGAGAGCCCAGCACGGAAUGUUUUCUUUCAGUAGUCUUUUUCCUCACACCCCAGGACCCCGAGCUAAGCUAGCUGGAUUGGUUAGCAUAGCUAGCUGCAUACUGUCAGUUUAGCUAGGAUAGCUGGAUUGGUUAGCUUAGCUAGCUGCAUACUGUCAGUUUAGCUAGGAUAGCUGGACUGGUUAGCUUAGCUUGCUGCAUAUUGUCCGGUUAGCUAAAAUUGCUGGAUUACUGUACCCAAGCUAAGACACCAUCACUCCCCAACCUCAACCCUGUACAGCCCUACUGUACACUGGACUUACUGUACCUAUGUUAAGGCCAAGCACCUAGCUGACACCAUCUUUAUAACUCUCUCGCUGUCUCUCUCUCUCCUUCUGUCUAACAGAGGAAGUGUCCAAGGGCAUUUUUUAUGUAUUCCUUCACAUGGAGACCAACCCAACAGGUUAACUCUGUACUGAAUAAGACACUGUAUAAUAAUUAUAACAAUAAAACUAUGUUGAAAGUACUUCUGAUUCACACAGAGGAACAUGUUCAUGGGUUAAAUACAUCAGUCUUCAGACACUGUGUUGAAUUCUCCACUGGUUUGCACUGAUCUGGUACGAAGAGCAUCUGAAGAGAGGACAGAAACAUGGUAUUCAGAAUGUCUAUGGAGCAUAAAUGGGAAAAUAGUUUUUGACUUAACAUGUAACUUCUAUCCAGGUCUCCAUUGGCGUCAGGCCAACUGUUUCAAUUCAACUGUUUCAGUUUAACUGAGUUUACAGUGAUCUGCCAAUACUGUACGGUGGCUUGGGAGGGACACUGGUCUAUGGGAUGUUGUGGGGUAUUUAGGGCCGGAAUUCAAUCCAUAGAGCGCUCUCGGCAAUGCAGCUUUUAAAGGCCAAUGUUAUUCUUAGGAACAACCCUACUCUACAUCUCUGUCUGUCUGCAACACUUCCUUACCUACAUUCCUAUGUAAUGGUACCAUCUUGGUAUCUCUCUAUUUAUUAUUUGUGACACAGAGGUCAUAUGAAGACGUUUUUGGGGGGUGGGGGGUGUUUAUUUUAUUAUGUUUUGCUCAUUGUUUUGUGUAAAUACUGAUACUGUGGUGAUGAUAUGAAACAUUUGAUUUGACAGGAGAGCUGGUGUUUUGGUGAAUCUAAUGGAUUUGAUUUGACAGGAGAGCUGGUGUUUUGGUGAAUAAUGGAUUUGAUUUGACAGGAGAGGUGGUGUGGUGAAUCUAAUGGAUUUGAUAUGACAGGAGAAGUGGUGUGGUAAUUCUAAUGGAUGGCUGCAGUGCCUUGUUAGAGAGCAGUUGUUGUUUUCGACAUGGUUUUGGUUCCAGUCUGCACCGUUUUAGUAAAAGUUGUACAAAACUAAACCGCGUUCCUCCUCUCUUUGCUUUCAUCCUCCUACAUUGCCAUUUAGCAAACGCUUUUAUUCAAAGCAACUCACAGUAGUGCGUGCCUGCAUUUCUAUACACAUUUGACAACAAUGGUUGUUGUGAUGCAACUGAUAUUUAUAUGAAGGUUUGUCUGCACAAAACAUGUUUACACAACCAUUGUGCUUUGUCUCCAACACUUUUUAUGCAGAUAAACUGUCCACUGUAUCACAACUGUUGUGCCAAAUGCGUUGUACAUCAGCUGUACAACUUGUGUACAGGGCCUUAUAGGGAGAACCUCAAUUGCAUUUCCUUGAUUCCUCGCGUCCGCUCUCCUCGCCUCCUUCUCAAAACCCAUUGGACGAGAAGGUCAGAGGUCCCUCCUUUUCGGCCUUCUCAUCCAAUGGGUUUUCAAGAAGGAGGCGGGGAGAAAGGACUUGAGGAAUCAAGGAAAUGCAAUUGAGAUUCUCCCUGUCUGGGUCAUUGUGAGUCACAGGGCCCACCACUCAGAGGUUCAACAGUGACGAUCAUUUCAUGGUAAAUCAACAGCGUUUAUUAAUAUGUUCUUAGUACAGAACACCAGUAUAAAACAUCAGAGGCAGAAGAUCAACAACAACAUAAACAUAGUCAUGUCGUGUGUGUGUGUGUGUGUGUGUGUGUGUGUAUAAAAAUGUAUGUAUGUGUGUGUAUGUUUAUGUUUGUAU
Long non-coding RNA from Coregonus clupeaformis (lake whitefish), 2674 nucleotides. RefSeq lists it as uncharacterized. The transcript is spliced from 2 exons. Lineage: Eukaryota; Metazoa; Chordata; Actinopteri; Salmoniformes; Salmonidae. The record is from RefSeq and is a predicted model, not a curated record.